AGAAUCAACGCUGGCGGCGUGCCUAACACAUGCAAGUCGAACGAGAAAGGGGUAGCAAUACCCUGAGUAAAGUGGCGCACGGGUGAGUAACACGUGACUAACCUACCCUGGAGUGGGGGAUAACUGAGGGAAACCUUAGCUAAUACCGCAUAAUACCUACGGGUCAAAGGAGCAAUUCGCUUUGGGAAGGGGUCGCGGCCGAUUAGUUAGUUGGCGGGGUAAUGGCCCACCAAGACGAUGAUCGGUAUCC
Molecule: ribosomal RNA, 250 nt
Filed under: uncultured bacterium
Lineage: Bacteria
Description: partial small subunit ribosomal RNA
Rfam family: Bacterial small subunit ribosomal RNA
Source: RNAcentral